Rhipicephalus sanguineus (brown dog tick) is the source of this 548-nucleotide long non-coding RNA. RefSeq lists it as uncharacterized. The transcript has 3 exons. NCBI's taxonomy places the organism in Eukaryota, Metazoa, Arthropoda, Arachnida, Ixodida, Ixodidae. The record is from RefSeq and is a predicted model, not a curated record.
AUUCUUCAGUUUUACUGCCUGCACCAGCGGCCACACAUGCACCAAGCACCACAUCCACUUCAGUCCUUCCAGAGGACUCCAGAUCAGCAAUUCAGAGAGGGGGCAGGACCCAUGUAGCUUCAAUGCUUGAAAAGGUUUUGAAAGCCCUGAAAGAGAUCAAAGCUGAGCUGGGCGCUCAAAGUAAAGGUAUCCAGCGCCUUGAAAGUGCCAUAGACCUUCAGCAAAGACCAUCUGCAGGGCCCAGCUUGGACUCCUCCGUGCUGGAUUUGCUUCCCCUUACAACACAGUCAAGUCUGGAGGAGCUUGAGCGCCUACUCCAAGAUGACGCUAACAGAGCAGGACUGAUUUCCCAUCUCUCGCACAUCGGGGGAGCCUCUCUGCCAGAUGCUGUGCGCCACAUCCUAAAACGAUGCAUGAAUGACAUCCUUGCCCAAGAUUUCUCGUUGACAGGGCGAAAGGGAAAGCGGCCGUUAAUAGGCCUGCGACUGACGCGAGUAAUAAAAGGUGAGGAACUUAAUAAUUCUUAUUUAGUGCUGUCUUCACGGUGC